RNAcentral lists this unclassified non-coding RNA (500 nucleotides) under Candida albicans. RNAcentral describes it as "sequence contains 18S rRNA gene, ITS1, 5.8S rRNA gene, ITS2, 28S rRNA gene". The stretch from base 151 to 304 matches the Rfam family "5.8S ribosomal RNA". The record is from RNAcentral. Lineage: Eukaryota; Fungi; Ascomycota; Pichiomycetes; Serinales; Debaryomycetaceae.
AGGAUCAUUACUGAUUUGCCUUAAUUGCACCACAUGUGUUUUUCUUUGAAACAAACUUGCUUUGGCGGUGGGCCCAGCCUGCCGCCAGAGGUCUAAACUUACAACCAAUUUUUUAUCAACUUGUCACACCAGAUUAUUACUAAUAGUCAAAACUUUCAACAACGGAUCUCUUGGUUCUCGCAUCGAUGAAGAACGCAGCGAAAUGCGAUACGUAAUAUGAAUUGCAGAUAUUCGUGAAUCAUCGAAUCUUUGAACGCACAUUGCGCCCUCUGGUAUUCCGGAGGGCAUGCCUGUUUGAGCGUCGUUUCUCCCUCAAACCGCUGGGUUUGGUGUUGAGCAAUACGACUUGGGUUUGCUUGAAAGACGGUAGUGGUAAGGCGGGAUCGCUUUGACAAUGGCUUAGGUCUAACCAAAAACAUUGCUUGCGGCGGUAACGUCUACCACGUAUAUCUUCAAACUUUGACCUCAAAUCAGGUCUACUCCGCCUAGGUAAAGUNAAA